UGGGGAAUUUUGGACAAUGGGGGAAACCCUGAUCCAGCCAUCCCGCGUGUGCGAUGAAGGCCUUCGGGUUGUAAAGCACUUUUGGCAGGAAAGAAACGUCAUGGGUUAAUACCCCGUGAAACUGACGGUACCUGCAGAAUAAGCACCGGCUAACUACGUGCCAGCAGCCGCGGUAAUACGUAGGGUGCAAGCGUUAAUCGGAAUUACUGGGCGUAAAGCGUGCGCAGGCGGUUCGGAAAGAAAGAUGUGAAAUCCCAGAGCUCAACUUUGGAACUGCAUUUUUAACUACCGGGCUAGAGUGUGUCAGAGGGAGGUGGAAUUCCGCGUGUAGCAGUGAAAUGCGUAGAUAUGCGGAGGAACAUCGAUGGCGAAGGCAGCCUCCUGGGAUAACACUGACGCUCAUGCACGAAAGCGUGGGGAGCAAACAGG
Molecule: ribosomal RNA, 429 nt
Filed under: Acidobacteriota bacterium
Lineage: Bacteria; Pseudomonadati; Acidobacteriota
Description: Acidobacteria bacterium partial 16S ribosomal RNA
Rfam family: Bacterial small subunit ribosomal RNA
Source: RNAcentral